RNAcentral lists this ribosomal RNA (300 nucleotides) under uncultured Sulfophobococcus sp. RNAcentral describes it as "bacterial SSU rRNA". The stretch from base 52 to 300 matches the Rfam family "Bacterial small subunit ribosomal RNA", at positions 547 to 795 of the family's 1533-position model. Lineage: Archaea; Thermoproteati; Thermoproteota; Thermoprotei; Desulfurococcales; Desulfurococcaceae. The record is from RNAcentral.
GCUGAGUACGGGGAGGCGGUCGGGGGAAUAGGUGGGGUGGGGUGGUUGAGCGGAAUUACUGGGCGUAAAGUGGGCGCAGGCGGCGUCGCAAGUCGAGUGUGAAAUCCCCGAGCUUAACUUGGGAAUUGCGAUCGAAACUAGGAUGCUGGAGUGUGGCAGAGGGGGGUGGAAUUCCACGUGUAGCGGUGAAAUGCGUAGAGAUGUGGAGGAACACCGAUGGCGAAGGCAGCCCCCUGGGCCAACACUGACGCUCAUGCACGAAAGCGUGGGGAGCAAACAGGAUUAGAUACCCGAGUAGUC